This 148-nucleotide non-coding RNA is filed under the name Nomascus leucogenys (northern white-cheeked gibbon). Lineage: Eukaryota; Metazoa; Chordata; Mammalia; Primates; Hylobatidae. The record is from Rfam by way of RNAcentral.
GCCGGGUGUGGUGGCACAUGCCUGUAAUCCCAGCUACUCAGGAGGCUGAGGCAGGCGAAUUGCUUGAACCCGGGAGGCGGAGAGUGCAGUGAGCCGAGAUUGUGCCACUGCACUCCAGCAUGGGUAACAGAGUAAGACCCUGUCUCAA